UGGGGAAUAUUGCGCAAUGGGCGAAAGCCUGAAGCAGCGACGCCGCGUGAGGGAUGAAGGUUUUCGGAUCGUAAACCUCUGUCAGAAGGGAAGAAACCGCACUGUGCUAAUCAGCAGUGCCUUGACGGUACCUUCAAAGGAAGCACCGGCUAACUCCGUGCCAGCAGCCGCGGUAAUACGGAGGGUGCAAGCGUUAAUCGGAAUUACUGGGCGUAAAGCGCACGUAGGCUGCUUUGUAAGUCAGGGGUGAAAUCCCACGGCUCAACCGUGGAACUGCCUUUGAUACUGCUUAGCUUGAAUCCGGGAGAGGGUGGCGGAAUUCCAGGUGUAGGAGUGAAAUCCGUAGAUAUCUGGAGGAACAUCAGUGGCGAAGGCGGCCACCUGGACCGGUAUUGACGCUGAGGUGCGAAAGCGUGGGGAGCAAACAGG
Molecule: ribosomal RNA, 429 nt
Filed under: Fusobacteriota bacterium
Lineage: Bacteria; Fusobacteriati; Fusobacteriota
Description: Fusobacteria bacterium partial 16S ribosomal RNA
Rfam family: Bacterial small subunit ribosomal RNA
Source: RNAcentral